Molecule: long non-coding RNA, 318 nt
Filed under: Pan troglodytes (chimpanzee)
Lineage: Eukaryota; Metazoa; Chordata; Mammalia; Primates; Hominidae
Description: long non-coding RNA NONPTRT013147
Source: RNAcentral
CAGAUUCUGGCCAUCAGCUUUUGUGGCACAGACGACUGUGCAAUUAAUGGAAAAUUAAAAACUAAAUAUCCAUUUCUUCUAGGACACGAAGCAGCUGGAAUUGUAGAGAGUAUUGGAAAAGGAGUGAGAAAGGAUGAGAAUAUUUAGAAGAGUCCUUCUCGCUCUGGGAAUACCAAAGGAUCACUUGGGGACCUUGCAGCAGAUUCUCCAGAUAUUUAGGUGAGAAAAUUGAGGCUUAUAAAGAAGUUGUGGAUGGACCACUUAGUUUGGAAGGUGGCAGAGUCAUGACCAGAACCAACUUGUGUUUGAAACCAAAGC